CUCAAAAAAGCAAGCCCUAGGCUCCUACUGCUGCAGCUGCGUGUCUUCUUCUGCUCCGCACCGCCGCCUCUGCAGCCUCCCCGACGAGAGACCGAGCGAGAUCCUCCUCUCCCCUGCGUCUGCCCCAUCGCCCGUCCUCGAGAUGGAGAGGGUGCUCAAGGAUGACGCCAUCCAGGAGAAGGCCGAGCGCGCCACGAUGGGAUCUUUUCUACGUGCCACGGCAAUCGCAGACUCAGUGAAGACCACAUUAUAUUGGGACCAAAAGCAACGGUACAAGCUGCUCACGGGGAAAAAAAUGUAGUUGGGCA
Molecule: long non-coding RNA, 308 nt
Organism: Triticum aestivum (bread wheat)
Lineage: Eukaryota; Viridiplantae; Streptophyta; Magnoliopsida; Poales; Poaceae
Exons: 3
Source: RefSeq, a predicted model, not a curated record